Bos indicus x Bos taurus (hybrid cattle) is the source of this 508-nucleotide long non-coding RNA. The record is from Ensembl. NCBI's taxonomy places the organism in Eukaryota, Metazoa, Chordata, Mammalia, Artiodactyla, Bovidae.
CCAGAGCAUUUCUGCAGGCCCCAGCAGGGGCCGGAGGGGAGACCAGGAGGGCGUGGGGGCUGGUCAGCACCGGCUCUGCAGUCUCAUUGCCGGAUCCCAUCUGGAGCCAGGAGGCGCAGAAACCUGGCGGCUUCCGAAGCAGAUGAAAAGCCAACCUCCCUCAAAUUGUUUUAUUUAAAGCCAGAUUCCUGACUGUUUGAAGCCGCUUGAUUUUGGCAGUCCUUGUUUCUUUUCCUUUUAAACAGCCCUCGGAGAUGAGGGGAACGUAUCGCUGCCGGCGCCUCACUUGCAGAUGCUCAGAAGACCUUCGGCCUCCCCCGCCCCUACCGGCUGCUCCCCGCUGCAGCUGAGCGCCACCUGCCUGGUUUUCAUAGGGAAAGGGAAGAAUUUCAACCCACUGAGACCUAUGACCAGAGAGUCUCCCUUUUCCAUUUGGUUGGAAGUAGAAGGAACUUGCCAAAAUUAAAGAAGUCGAGACAAAGCAACCCAAGUGUGUCCAUCAGCAGAU